AUUUUGGUUUUGAGACCCAGCGCCACAAUUUCCCCCUAUCUUUUCAUUUCCCGCUAUGUAAAAACCCUAAAAACUAUUCAGAUCCCCAAUUCUUCAUCCUCCUCCGCUCAAACUUCCGGCACAUCUCCACGCCGACCUCGACAUUGUCGAGAUCCCCCCUCCUCCGCAUCUCCUUAAUAGCCCCAUCCUCCUCCAUGGUCGGCCUCAGAUUCGCUCUGCUCCAUGAUUGGAUUCGGUUCCCUCAUCGUCAAAUCGGCAGACUCUCUCUCUCUAGACGAAGACAAUGACGAUGUUUUUUGAACUGAACACCGGCGCUAAGGACCCGGUGGUUGGUCUGGGGACGUGGCAAGCAGAUGCCGGAGGCAUCCGAGGUGUUGUGAUUGCUGUCGUCAAGUUUCACAUCAUGACAUUGUACAUAAGUAUCAGAAAGUUGCCACCAUCGUCAAUCCACGAGCUCCUCCCAGACUCCGUCAAAUCCUUCUCCGUCUCCUCCAACGGCCACUUCACCGUCAACCUCCAAUCCCCCUGCUACAUCCACUUCGAUUACCUUGUCCACUACGCCGACACCAUCACCGGCGUCAUCAAGUAUGGAUCGACCGACGAGCUGAAGGGGAUCAAGAGGAGGAAUUCGAGCUGGUUGCGGGCCAUCGAUUCGCCGACGAAGGCAGAGGAGGGAUUCACGCCGUUCUUCCUUUCGAUCUGGGGGAUUGGGGUUCGGUUGGCAAUGGGCGAGCUCUGCGCUGAAACUUGGUUUUUGUUGUGAAGCAUAUUGAGAAUAGAUCGGAUUCCCUUCAAGGGAGGCAUACUCAAUGCAUUUCGAUACUAUAGCAAAGUUGCUGUACAUGGAUUGCUCUCAAUGUUGUUGAUCAAGGAGGAGGAAACAUGAUGCUUCAACAACUUGGAGGAGUAAAUGCAAUUGGAUUCUAUAAAUUAUGCAAAGUUCAUCAAGUUAUGUAAACAAUUGUAUUCUUUAUAAUCUAUGUAAAAAUUUUAUGUA
Asparagus officinalis (garden asparagus) is the source of this 997-nucleotide RNA transcript. RefSeq lists it as uncharacterized. The transcript has 7 exons. Lineage: Eukaryota; Viridiplantae; Streptophyta; Magnoliopsida; Asparagales; Asparagaceae. The record is from RefSeq and is a predicted model, not a curated record.